This 253-nucleotide ribosomal RNA is filed under the name uncultured bacterium. Its description in RNAcentral is "partial 16S ribosomal RNA". It matches the Rfam family "Bacterial small subunit ribosomal RNA", at positions 524 to 776 of the family's 1533-position model. The record is from RNAcentral.
GACGUAGGGCGCGAGCGUUGUCCGGAUUUAUUGGGCGUAAAGAGCUCGUAGGCGGCUUGUUGCGUCAGCUGUGAAAACCCGCAGCUCAACUGUGGGCUUGCAGCUGAUACGGGCAGGCUUGAGUUCGGUAGGGGAGACUGGAAUUCCUGGUGUAGCGGUGAAAUGCGUAGAUAUCUGGAGGAACACCGGUGGCGAAGGCGGCAUCCUGGACCAACACUGACACUGAUGAGCGAAAGCCAGGGGAGCAAACGGG